Molecule: ribosomal RNA, 757 nt
Filed under: uncultured archaeon
Lineage: Archaea
Description: bacterial SSU rRNA
Rfam family: Archaeal small subunit ribosomal RNA
Source: RNAcentral
GUUCAGCUUAACUGAACGGCGUGCAGAAGACACUGCUUGACUAGGGACCGGGAGGCGUGAGAGGUAUUCGUAGGGUAGCGGUAAAAUGCGAUAAUCCUACGAGGACCACCUGUGGCGAAGGCGUCUCACGAGAACGGCUCCGACGGUGAGGGAUGAAGGCCAGGGGAGCGAAUGGGAUUAGAUACCCCAGUAGUCCUGGCAGUAAACCCUGCGAGCUAGGUGUCGCGUAUCCUCCGAGGGUACGCGGUGUCGUAGAGAAGUCGUUAAGCUCGCCGCCUGGGAAGUACGGUCGCAAGGCUGAAACUUAAAGGAAUUGGCGGGGGAGCACUACAAGGGGUGCGGCGUGCGGUUUAAUUGGAUUCAACGCCGAAAAUCUCACCAGGGGAGACGGCAGAAUGAAGGUCAGUCUAAAGGGCUUACCUGACGAGCCGAGAGGUGGUGCAUGGCCGUCGUCAGCUCGUGCCGUGAGGUGUCCUGUUAAGUCAGGCAACGAGCGAGACCUGCGCCUACACUUGCCAGCGAGCAGCUUGCUGUGAUCGGGCACUGUGUAGGGACUGCCUGGGAAACCAGGAGGAAGGUGCAGGCAACGGUAGGUCUGUAUGCCCCGAAUCCACUGGGCUACACGCGCGCAACAAUGGACGAGACAAUGGGCUGCAACACCGAAAGGUGAAGCUAAUCCUCGAAACUCGUCCCCAGUACGGGUUGAGGCUUGUAACUCAGCCUCAUGACGCCGGAAUCCCUAGUAAUCGGAGUCAUC